RNAcentral lists this ribosomal RNA (449 nucleotides) under uncultured bacterium. RNAcentral's name for it is "SSU rRNA". It matches the Rfam family "Bacterial small subunit ribosomal RNA", at positions 26 to 518 of the family's 1533-position model. The record is from RNAcentral.
AGGAUGAACGCUGGCGGCGUGCCUAAUACAUGCAAGGUCGAACGAGGUCUUCGGACCGAGUGGCGAACGGGUGAGUAACACGUUGGUACCUACCCCGAAGUGGGGAAUAACUGCCCGAAAGGGUGGCUAAUACCGCAUAAUACCGCAAGGUUAAAGCAGUAAUGCGCUUCGGGAGGGGCCUGCGUCCCAUUAGCUAGUUGGUAGGGUAAUGGCCUACCAAGGCGACGAUGGGUAGCUGGAUCGAGAGGUUGACCAGCCACACUGGGACUGAGAUACGGCCCAGACUCCUACGGGAGGCAGCAGUAAGGAAUCUUCCACAAUGGACGAAAGUCUGAUGGAGCAACGCCGCGUGCAGGAUGACGGCCUUCGGGUUGUAAACUGCUUUUAUAUGGGAAGAUUAUGACGGUACCAUAUGAAUAAGGACCGGCUAACUACGUGCCAGCAGCCGC